Molecule: non-coding RNA, 43160 nt
Organism: Xyrichtys novacula (pearly razorfish)
Lineage: Eukaryota; Metazoa; Chordata; Actinopteri; Labriformes; Labridae
Source: the annotation of a GenBank genome assembly
CUCGGAUUUUAUGUUUUGUGUGUGAAUUUGGGUCCAUUGUGUAAAUUCAGUAUGUCAACAUGAUAAAAUAACUGUAAAUUGACACAGGUGAGGUUGUGCUGAAAAAAAUGAUACCAGGCAAGGCACGUGAUUGUCAAAUUUUGUGUCAAUAUGACAAAGCGUAUAGGCGUGAAUCUCAACAAUAUGUAUUUUCACCUUAGGGGACAAGAAAAAAUGGACUUUUUUCUCCUGCCAUGGGGGGGCGCUCUUUUGGGGAGUAAAAAUUCCUUCACAAAUGUGUUGAUGGCUGGACAUUGCAUCAUCCUAGAAAACUUGGAGGCCAGUGAGGACAAAAAUAAAAAGUUAUAAGACUUUUAAAUAUGUGGAUUUUAGGGUUAUCUUUGGCGCCCCCUAGAACCUAAACCGUGGGGUGCAGCGUCAUGAUUUUGAUAACUUUUAAUGGCCAUGGGCUGUAGAUUGGCCUGAGCAAAUGUGGUGCCGGUGGAACGAAAGCCUUAGGAGGAGUUAGCCACAUUCCAAUGUGUGCGGAUCGGCAAAAAAUGCGGAAUAACCCUUUAACCGUACAUUUGACAGAUACGCGCGCAUUGACUUUUUCGUAGAUCUUAUUGAGUUACAUGUGUGUGUCAAUUUUUGUGUCAUUUUGACAAAGCGUAUAGGCGUGACACUCAACAAUGUGUAUUUUCACCUUAGGGGACAAGAAAAAAUGGACUUUUUUCUCCUGCCAUGGGGGGGCGCUCUUUUGGGGAGUAAAAAUUCCUUCACAAAUGUGUUGAUGGCUGGACAUUGCAUCAUCCUAGAAAACUUGGAGGCCAGUGAGGACAAAAAUAAAAAGUUAUAAGACUUUUAAAUAUGUGGAUUUUAGUGUUAUCUUUGGCGCCCCCUAGAACCUAAACCUUGGGGUGCAGCGUCAUGAUUUUGAUAACUUUUAAUGGCCACGGGGUGUAGAUUGGCCUGAGCAAAUGUGGUGCCAGUGGAACGAAAGCCUUCGGAGGAGUUAGCGAAAUUCCAAUGUGUGCAGAUCGGCAAAAAAUGCGAAAUAACCCUUUAACCGUAAUUUUGACAGAUACGGCCGCACUGACUUUUUUGUAGAUCUUAUUGAGAUACAUGUGUGUGUCCAUUUUUGUGUCAUUUUGACAAAGCGUACAGUCGUGACAGUGAAUUGUGUGAAUUUUCACCUUAGGGGGCGCUAUGGAGCCAUUUUGCAUUUUAUUGUUUUGGCGACUUCAGAAUAUCAAAUUUUUCACCAGGCCCGGUCGUCCUGCCAAAUUUCAUGAGUUUUCGCCAGUGGGAAGUGGGCCAUUUUCCAGUUCAAAGGGGAGGAAAAAGAAACUAGGGCCCCGUUGGGGCACUGGCGGGCCCGAGCCGCGUUGCGCCGCCCCCAGUGCGACCGCCUCCCCCUCCCGAUCGCGUCACACUCAAGGUCCAAAGAUGGUGUGCGCACUUGUCUGUGGUCAUUUCCCAUUAUAAUGAAUGGGAGGCGCAGUUUCUACCAAAACACUCGCUGCAGACAAACUACAUGUCCUAUUUGAAAAAAGUCUGGACCAUGAGUGAGGGCACAAACACAGCUAGGAUAUAUCCAAACGGCAAGUUGCUCCUCGUUACGGUGUUGCCGGGAGAGCGAUGCGAUUGAGCCAUUGAGUGAUGGGCAGGAAAAACUUGACUGUUUCUCCUGCCAUGGGGGAUGGGGGAUGGGAGGGGGGGGGGAAGGGAUGUGGAUUCUUUUAAGAAUGUGGAUAUUUGGGUCAUCUUUGGCGCCCCCUAGAACGUAAACCGUGGGGUGCAGCGGCAUGAUUUUUAAAACUUUGAAUGGCCAUGGGGUGUAGAUUGGCCUGAGCAAAUUUGGUGUCAGUGGGACGAAAGCCUUAGGAGGAGUUAGCCACAUUCCAAUGUGUGCUAAUCGGCAAAAAAUGCAAAAUAGCCCUUUAACCGUACAUUUUACAGAUACGCGCUCUUUGACUUUUUCGUACAUCUUAUUGAGAUACAUGUGUGUGUCAAAUUUUGUGUCAAUAUGACAAAGCAUACAGGUAUGACAGUCAACAAUGUGUAUUUUCACCUUAUGGGACAAGAAAAAAUGGACUUUUUUCUCCUGCCAUGGGGGGGCGCUCUUUUAGGGAGUAAAAAUUCCUUCACAAAUGUGUUGAUGGCUGGACAUUGCAUCAUCCUAGAAAACUUGGAGGCCAGAGAGGACAAAAAUAAAAAGUUAUAAGACUUUUAAAUAUGUGGAUUUUAGGGUUAUCUUUGGCGCCCCCUAGAACCUAAACUGUGGGGUGCAGCGUCAUGAUUUGAAUAACUUUUAAUGGCCAUGGGGUGUAGAUUGGCCUGAGCAAAUGUGGUGCCGGUUGAACGAAAGCCUUCGGAGGAGUUAGCGAAAUUCCAAUGUGUGCGGAUCGGCAAAAAAUGCGCAAUAACCCUUUAACCGUACAUUUGACAGAUACGCCCGCACUGACUUUUUUGUAGAUCUUAUUGAGAUACAUGUGUGUGUCAAUUUUUGUGUAAUUUUGACAAAGCGUACAGGCGUGACAGUCAAUAGUGUGAAUUUUCACCUUAUGGAACAAGAAAAAAUGGACUUUUUUCUCCUGCCAUGGGGGGGCGCUCUUUUGGGGAGUAAAAAUUCCUUCACAAAUGUGUUGAUGGCUGGACAUUGCAUCAUCCUAGAAAACUUGGAGGCCAGUGAGGGCAAAAAUAAAAAGUUAUAAGACUUUGAAAUAUGUGGAUUUUAGGGUUAUCUUUGGCGCCCCCUAGAACAUAAACCGUGGGGUGCAGCGUCAUGAUUUGAAUAACUUUUAAUGGCCAUGGGGUGUAGAUUGGCCUGAGCAAAUGUGGUGCCGGUGGAACGAAAGCCUUCGGAGGAGUUAGCGAAAUUCCAAUGUGUGCGGAUCGGCAAAAAAUGCGAAAUAACCCUUUAACCGUACAUUUGACAGAUACGCCCGCACUGACUUUUUUGUAGAUCUUAUUGAGAUACAUGUGUGUGUCAAUUUUUGUGUCAUUUUGACAAAGCGUACAGGCGUCAGGUGAAUUUUUCACCUUAGGGGGCGCUAUGGAGCCAUUUUGCAUUGUAUUGUUUGGGCGACUUCAGAAUAUCAAAUUUUUCACCAGGCCCGGUCGUCCUGCCAAAUUUCAUGAGUUUUCGCCAGUGGGAAGUGGGCCAUUUUCCAGUUCAAAGGGGAGGAAAAAUAAUAACUAGGACCCCGUUGGGGCACUGGCGGGCCCGAGCUGUGUCGCGCCCCCCCCCCAACGCGCUGCCUCCCCGUCCCAUUUGUGUCCUCUGGCCAUCGCCCUCUCUGGUAACGCCCAUCACUGCAAAGACCCUUUUCCUUCAUCGGCGUUUGCUGUUCUUCCUGCCAGUGCGUGUUGCUUUCACUUACACUUGCCACAGCCAGCCUCGUGAGUGCCUAGCCUAUUGGAUAUUACUGUCACCUACACAGGACAGUCAUUACCUUUCUAUUAAUACUUUGUUUUUUAAUUUCACAUUAAUUUCCAUAUUGUAUAAACGACUGGAAAAAACUUGAGCCCCUGCCCCUGUAUAAUCAUGUGCACGUCUCUGUUCUAGCUCUAAGGUGAAUCUUCACUGCUCAUGUUCUCCUCAGAAGCAGUCACCUCACUCCCCUCAGGUUACUGUACACAUGCACCAACUGCCUGCUUCAGGUUUGGAUGGAGCUUCAUGGUUGUCUUUUGGAGAAAUGACCAGUCAAGUUGUGUUUGAAAUUUGAUUUUUUUCAGGGGCAAAAGGAGCCUCUGCAUUCUUGUCAAAUAUGUAAAUAGCAUGUUUUUGCAGGUGCUAAAAACCAGACUCUGAGUGUGUGUGUGUGCGUGUGUGUGUGUGUCUGUGUGUGUGUGUGUGUGUGUGUGUGUGUGCGUUCAAGUCACAUGACAUAUUUAACCGGAUGUAGCUGCAAGACGGAGCCUCGUUGACUCUCCGUUUCAAUUUAUCUCAAAAGUGAGGACCUCAACCUAUAUACCAGUUUUUAAAUUGUGUUGAUAGGCCAAAUAAAACCAGAGUUAUGAUAAAUUAUGUCCGCGAUACUUGUUUUCUGCUUAUUUUGAUCACAUUCGGCGCUCGAUCGCGCUGUAUGAGACAGGAAAACAUAGCAUGCAGACAUUAGCGACAGGUCUUACAGGCGGAAAAGGCUUGCCAAAAGAAAAAAAAAACACACCACAACAUCUCUCCUAUUGGUGGAAAACUUCACCACAACAACCAAUCCAAAAUUAUAUGGUGAUUGAUUGACAAGGGGCGGGAACUUACGUUCUUCCUGCAAUAUGAGAAGGGAGGGAGGGACUCUCAGCAGGGAUGCAGUCUGGGACACGUAGUUGCAAACCUAGCGACUUUGUUGUUAGAUUCAAUGACUUUUCAGACCCCCUAACGACUUUUUUUUAGAAAGAAAGGGACUUUUAUCGACUUCUUCUGGAGUUUAGAGACUCUGACAUGAAGCAGGCUUUCCUUACUGAGGAGUUAGCAACGCUGCUAAGGGUGCAGAGCCACACAUGCGCUCCGAGCUCUGCAUGGGAGACUGAAGCUGACAGAGCUGCAGCAGUUAGCAGGUUUCACCCUCAGAGACCACCAGGGGUUCAUGUUGAGGCAUUUUUAGUUUUUUUUUUUUUUUUUUUUGCCAUAGACACUGUCAGCACAAUCUGCAGUUACACUAACAAAAAUGCUGCAAAAAACAAAGAAUUAUGGAAAAAUUACACAUGGACUAACAUAGAGGAGGAUCUACACAAGUUUUUUACAUCAUGUUUUACAUCAUGCAUCAUUUACAUCAUGUUUUUUUGUAGUGGCAUAAAUAAAAAGUGACAUUUGUGAGACUAUACAGUGUUUUGUAAAUAAUUUUACAAAGAACACCUGGGCCAUUGCCUGCAUUUUGAUGUCAAUAGAGGAAAAUUACUAUGUUCUUUGUUAAAAAUUUGCAUAUGUUUUGAAGUUUACAAUUUUUAUUUGAAGUUUAAGUUUUAAAAACAGUUCAUCACACAUAUUUGUGGUUUUCACAGUAAAAACGUUACUUUUUUCCACUCGGAUUUUAUGUUUUGUGUGUGAAUUUGGGUCCAAUGUGUAAAUAUAGUAUGUCAAAAUGAUAAAAUAACUGUAAAUUGACACAGGUGAGGUUGUGCUGAAAAAAAUGAUACCAGGCAAGGCAAGGUAAAAAUUUUGUAAGAGGAAAUAUAAAGGUAAAAUCUAAAGUAGUCAAAAACGGCCAAUAGUGACUCACAGACUCCACAGACAAGUCCCUUUGCCGCCACUCAGUGGGCAAAACUACUUUGUCUACUGUAAUGUAUAUUUGGGUCAUCUUUGGCGCCCCCUAAAACGUAAACCGUGGGGUGCAGCGUCAUGAUUUUUACAACUUUGAAUGGCCAUGGAGUGUAGAUUGGCCUGAGCAAAUUUGGUGUCAGUGGGACGAAAGCCUUAGGAGGAGUUAGCGAAAUUCCAAUGUGUGCGAAUCGGCAAAAAAUGCAAAAUAGCCCUUUUACCGUACAUUAUACAGAUACGCGCUCUUUGACUUUUUCGUAGAUCUAAUUGAGAUACACAUGAUUGUCAAUUUUUGUGUCAUUUUGCCAAAGCGUACAGGCGUGACAGUCAACAAUGUGUAUUUUCACCUUAGGGGACAAGAAAAAAUGGACUUUUUUCUCCUGCCAUGGGGGGCGCUCUUUUAGGGAGUAAAAAUUCCUUCACAAAUGUGUUGAUGGCUGGACAUUGCAUCAUCCUAGAAAACUUGGAGGCCAGUGAGGACAAAAAUAAAAAGUUAUAAGACUUUUAAAAAUGUGGAUUUUUGGGUUAUCUUUGGCGCCCCCUAGAACGUAAACCGUGGGGUGCAGCGUCAUGAUUUGAAUAACUUUUAAUGGCCAUGGGGUGUAAUUUGGCCUGAGCAAAUGUGGUGCCGGUGGAACGAAAGCCUUCGGAGGAGUUAGCGAAAUUCCAAUGUGUGCGAAUCGGCAAAAAAUGCGGAAUAACCCUUUAACCGUACAUUAGACAGAUACGCGCGCAUUGACUUUUUCGAAGAUCUUAUUGAGAUACAUGUGUGUGUCAAUUUUUGUGUCAUUUUGACAAAGCGUAUAGGCGUGACAGUCAACAAUGUGUAUUUUCACCUUAGGGGACAAGAAAAAAUGGACUUUUUUCUCCUGCCAUGGGGGGGCGCUCUUUUGGGGAGUAAAAAUUCCUUCACACAUGUGUUGAUGGCUGGACAUUGCAUCAUCCUAGAAAACUUGGAGGCCAGUGAGGGCAAAAAUAAAAAGUUAUAAGACUUUUAAAAAUGUGGAUUUUAGGGUUAUCUUUGGCGCCCCCUAGAACCUAAACCGUGGGGUGCAGCGUCAUGAUUUGAAUAACUUUUAAUGGCCAUGGGGUGUAGAUUGGCCUGAGCAAAUGUGGUGCCGGUGGAACGAAAGCCUUCGGAGGAGUUAGCGAAAUUCCAAUGUGUGCGGAUCGGCAAAAAAUGCGAAAUAACCCUUUAACCGUACAUUUGACAGAUACGCCCGCACUGACUUUUUUGUAGAUCUUAUUGAGAUACAUGUGUGUGUCAAUUUUUGUGUCAUUUUGACAAAGCGUACAGGCGUGACAGUCAAUAGUGUGAAUUUUCACCUUAGGGGGCGCUAUGGAGCCAUUUUGCAUUUUCUUGUUUGGGCGACUUCGGAAUAUCAAAUUUUUCACCAGGCCCGGUCGUCCUGCCAAAUUUCCUGAGUUUUCGCCAGUGGGAAGUGGGCCAUUUUCCAGUUCAAAGGGGAGGAAAAAGAAAAAAGAAACAAAGAAAAACCACUUGGGGAAUAAUAGGGCUCUCGCAGCUGCUUAGCAGCUACGCUCGGGCCCUAACUAGGACCCCGUUGGGGCACUGGCGGGCCCGAGCUGUGUCGCGUCUCUCCCCCCCCCCCCCCAACGUGCUGCCUCCCCGUCCCAUUUGUGUCCUCUGGCCAUUGCCCUCUCUGUUAACGCCCAUCACUGCAAAGACCCUUUUCCUUCAUCGGCGUUUGCUGUUCUUCCUGCCAGUGCGUGUUGCUUUCACUUACACUUGCCACAGCCAGCCUCGUGAGUGCCUAGCCUAUUGGAUAUCACUGUCACCUACACAGGACAGUCAUUACCUUUCUAUUAAUACUUUGUGUUUUAAUUUCACAUUAAUUUCCAUAUUGUAUAAACGACUGGAAAAAACUUGAGCCCCUGCCCCUGUAUAAUCAUGUGCAUGUCUCUGUUCUAGCUCCAAGGUGAAUCUUCACUGCUCAUGCUCUCCUCAGAAGCACUCACCUCACUCCCCUCAGGUUACUGUACACAUGCACCAACUGCCUGCUUCAGGUUUGGAUGGAGCUUCAUGGUUGUCUUUUGGAGAAAUGACCAGUCAAGUUGUGUUUGAAAUUUGAUUUUUUUCAGGGGCAAAAGGAGCCUCUGCAUUCUUGUCAAAUAUGUAAAUAGCAUGUUUUUGCAGGUGCUAAAAACCAGACUCUGAGUGUGUGUGUGUGUGUGUGUGUGUGUGUGUGUGUGUGUGUGUGUGUGUGUGUGUGUGUGUGUGUGCGUGUGUGUGUGUCUAUGUGUGCGUUCAAGUCACAUGACAUAUUUAACCGGAUGUAGCUGCAAGACGGAGCCUCGUUGACUCUCCGUUUCAACUUAUCUCAAAAGUGAGGACCUCAACCUAUAUACCAGUUUUUAAAUUGUGUUGAUAGGCCAAAUAAAACCAGAGUUAUGAUAAAUUAUGUCCGCGAUACUUUUUUUCUGCUUAUUUUGAUCAUGUUCGGCGCUCGAUCGCGCUGUAUGAGACAGGAAAACAUAGCAUGCAGACAUUAGCGACAGGUCUUACAGGCGGAAAAGGCUUGCCAAAAGAAAAAAAAAACACACCACAACAUCUCUCCUAUUGGUGGAAAACUUCACCACAACAACCAAUCCAAAAUUAUAUGGUGACUGAUUGACAAGGGGCGGGCGCUUACGUUCUUCCUGCAACAUGAGAAGGGAGGGAGGGACUCUCAGCAGGGAUGCAGUCUGGGACACGUAGUUGCAAACCUAGCGACUUUGUUGUUAGAUUCAAUGACUUUUCAGACACCCUAACGACUUUUUUUUAGAAAGAAAGGGACUUUUAUCGACUUCUUCUGGAGUUUAGAGACUCUGACAUGAAGCAGGCUUUCCUUACUGAGGAGUUAGCAACGCUGCUAAGGGUGCAGAGCCACACAUGCGCUCAGAGCUCUGCAUGGGAGACUGAAGCUGACAGAGCUGCAGCAGUUAGCAGGUUUCACCCUCAGAGACCACCAGGGGUUCAUGUUGAGGCAUUUUAAUUUUUUUUUUUUUUUGUGCCAUAGACACUGUCAGCACAAUCUGCAGUUACACUAACAAAAAUGCUGCAAAAAACAAAGAAUUAUGGAAAAAUUACACAUGGACUGACAUAGAGGAGGAUCUACACAAGUUUUUUACAUCAUGUUUUACAUCAUGCAUCAUUUACAUCAUGUUUUUUUGUAGUGGCAUAAAUAAAAAGUGACAUUUGUGAGACUAUACAGUGUUUUGUAAAUAAUUUUACAAAGAACGCCUGGGCCAUUGCCUGCAUUUUGAUGUAAAUAGAGGUAAAUUACUAUGUUCUUUGUUAAAAAUUUGCAUAUGUUUUGAAGUUUACAAUUUUUAUUUGAAGUUUAAGUUUUAAAAACAGUUCAUCACACAUAUUUGUGUUUUAAUUUCACAUUAAUUUCCAUAUUGUAUAAAUGACUGGAAAAAACUUGAGCCCCUGCCCCUGUAUAAUCAUGUGCACGUCCCUGUUCUAGCUCCAAGCUGAAUCUUCACUGCUCAUGUUCUCCUCAGAAAUAGUCACCUCACUCCCCUCAGGUUACUGUACACAUGCACCAACUAUCUGCUUCAGGUUUGGAUGGAGCUUCAUGGUUGUCUUUUGGAGAAAUGAACAGUCAAGUUGUGUUUGAAAUCUGAUUUUUUUCAGGGGCAAAAGGAAGCCUCUGCAUUCUUGUCAAAUAUGUAAACAGCAUGUUUUUGCAGGUGCUAAAAAACAGACUCUGAGUGUGUGUGUGUGUGUGUGUGUGUGUGUGUGUGUGUGUGUGUGUGUGUGUGUGUGUGUGUAUGUGUGUGUAUCCUGCAGUACUCUGUACUCCUGCAGUGGCCAAAAAGACUUUUAAGAAUGUGGAUUUUUGGGUCAUCUUUGGCGCCCCCUAGAACUGCAGUACUCUGUACUCCUGCAGUGGCCAAAAUGACUUUUAAGAAUGUGGAUUUUUGGGUCAUCUUUGGUGCCCCCUAGAACGUAAACCGUGGGGUGCAGCGUCAUGAUUUUUACAACUUUGAAUGGGCAUGGGGUGUAGAUUGCCCUGAGCAAAUUUGGUAUCGGUGGGACGAAAGCCUUAGGAGGAGAUAGCCACAUUCCAAUGUGUGCGAAUCGGCAAAAAAUGCGAAAUAGCCCUUUAACCGUACAUUAUGCAGAUACGCGCUUUUUGACUUUUUCGUAGAUCUAAUUGAGAUACACGUGAUUGUCAAUUUUUGUGUCAGUAUGACAAAGCGUUCAGGCAUGACACUCAACAAUGUGUAUUUUCAUGUAAGGGGACAAGAAAAAAUGGACUUUUUUCUCCUGCCAUGGGGGGGCGCUCUUUUGGGGAGUAAAAAUUCCUUAGAUUGGCCUGAGCAAAUGUGGUGCCGGUCGAACGAAAGCCUUCGGAGGAGUUAGCGAAAUUCCAAUGUGUGCAGAUCUGCAAAAAAUGCAAAAUAACCCAUUAACCGUACAUUUGACAGAUACGCCCGCACUGACUUUUUUGUAGAUCUUAUUGAGAUACAUGUGUGUGUCAAUUUUUGUGUCAAUAUGACAAAGCGUACAGCUGUCAUGUGAAUUUUCACCUUAGGGGGCGCUAUGGAGCCAUUUUGCAUUUUAUUGUUUGGGCGACUUCAGAAUAUCGAAUUUUUCACCAGGCCCGGUCGUCCUGCCAAAUUUCCUGAGUUUUCGCCAGUGGGAAGUGGGCCAUUUUCCAGUUUAAAGCGGAGGAAAAAUAAUAACGAAAGAAGGAAACAUGCAGGAACAAGAGGGCUCUCGCAGCUGCUUAGCAGCUACGCUCGGGCCCUAAUAACACUAGGACCCCGUUGGGGCACUGGCGGGCCCGAGCCGUGUCGCGCCCCCCCCCCCCCCCCCCAACGUGCUGCCUCCCCGUCCCAUUUGUGUCCUCUGGCCAUCGCCCUCUCUGGUAACGCCCAUCACUGCAAAGACCCUUUUCCUUCAUCGGCGUUUGCUGUUCUUCCUGCCAGUGCGUGUUGCUUUCACUUACACUUGCCACAGCCAGCCUCGUGAGUGCCUAGCCUAUUGGAUAUCACUGUCACCUACACAGGACAGUCAUUACCUUUCUAUUAAUACUUUGUGUUUUAAUUUCACAUUAAUUUCCAUAUUGUAUAAACGACUGGAAAAAACUUGAGCCCCUGCCCCUGUAUAAUCAUGUGCAUGUCUCUGUUCUAGCUCCAAGGUGAAUCUUCACUGCUCAUGUUCUCCUCAGAAGCACUCACCUCACUCCCCUCAGGUUACUGUACACAUGCACCAACUGCCUGCUUCAGGUUUGGAUGGAGCUUCAUGGUUGUCUUUUGGAGAAAUGACCAGUCAAGUUGUGUUUGAAAUUUGAUUUUUUUCAGGGGCAAAAGGAGCCUCUGCAUUCUUGUCAAAUAUGUAAAUAGCAUGUUUUUGCAGGUGCUAAAAACCAGACUCUGAGUGUGUGUGUGUGUGUGUGUGUGUGUGUGUGUGUGUGUGUGUGUGUGUGUGUGUGUGUGUGUGUGUGUGUGUGUGUGUGUGUGUGUGUCUGUGUGGGCGUUCAAGUCACAUGACAUAUUUAAUCGGAUGUAGCUGCAAGACGGAGCCUCGUUGACUCUCCGUUUCAACUUAUCUCAAAAGUGAGGACCUCAACCUAUAUACCAGUUUUUAAAUUGUGUUGAUAGGCCAAAUAAAACCAGAGUUAUGAUAAAUUAUGUCCGCGAUACUUUUUUUCUGCUUAUUUUGAUCACGUUCGGCGCUCGAUCGCGCUGUAUGAGACAGGAAAACAUAGCAUGCAGACAUUAGCGACAGGUCUUACAGGCGGAAAAGGCUUGCCAAAAGAAAAAAAAAACACACCACAACAUCUCUCCUAUUGGUGGAAAACUUCACCACAACAACCAAUCCAAAAACAUGAGAAGCGAGGGAGGGACUCUCAGCAGGGAUGCAGUCUGGGACACGUAGUUGCAAACCUAGCGACUUUGUUGUUAGAUUCAAUGACUUUUCAGACCCCCUAACGACUUUUUUUUAGAAAGAAAGGGACUUUUAUCGACUUCUUCUGGAGUUUAGAGACUCUGACAUGAAGCAGGCUUUCCUUACUGAGGAGUUAGCAACGCUGCUAAGGGUGCAGAGCCACACAUGCGCUCAGAGCUCUGCAUGGGAGACUGAAGCUGACAGAGCUGCAGCAGUUAGCAGGUUUCACCCUCAGAGACCACCAGGGGUUCAUGUUGAGGCAUUUUAAUUUUUUUUUUUUUUUUUUGCCAUAGACACUGUCAGCACAAUCUGCAGUUACACUAACAAAAAUGCUGCAAAAAACAAAGAAUUAUGGAAGAAUUACACAUGGACUGACAUAGAGGAGGAUCUACACAAGUUUUUUACAUCAUGUUUUACAUCAUGCAUCAUUUACAUCAUGUUUUUUUGUAGUGGCAUAAAUAAAAAGUGACAUUUGUGAGACUAUACAGUGUUUUGUAAAUAAUUUUACAAAGAACGCCUGGGCCAUUGCCUGCAUUUUGAUGAAAAUAGAGGUAAAUCACUAUGUUCUUUGUUAAAAAUUUGCAUAUGUUUUGAAGUUUACAAUUUUUAUUUGAAGUUUAAGUUUUAAAAACAGUUCAUCACACAUAUUUGUGGUUUAAUUUCACAUUAAUUUCCAUAUUGUAUAAAUGACUGGAAAAAACUUGAGCCCCUGCCCCUGUAUAAUCAUGUGCACGUCCCUGUUCUAGCUCCAAGGUGAAUCUUCACUGCUCAUGUUCUCCUCAGAAAUAGUCACCUCACUCCCCUCAGGUUACUGUACACAUGCACCAACUAUCUGCUUCAGGUUUGAAAUGGAGCUUCAUGGUUGUCUUUUGGAGAAAUGAACAGUCAAGUUGUGUUUGAAAUUUGAUUUUUUUCAGGGGCAAAAGGAAGCCUCUGCAUUCUUGUCAAAUAUGUAAACAGCAUGUUUUUGCAGGUGCUAAAAAACAGACUCUGAGUGUGUGUGUGUGUCUGUGUGUGUGUGUGUGUGUGUGUGUGUGUGUGUGUGUAUGUUGGUGUGUGUGUAUAUGUGUGUGUAUCCUGCAGUACUCUGUACUCCUGCAGUGGCCAAAAAGACUUUUAAGAAUGUGGAUUUUUGGGUCAUCUUUGGCGCCCCCUAGAACUGCAGUACUGUACUCCUGCAGUGGCCAAAAUGACUUUUAAGAAUGUGGAUUUUUGGGUCAUCUUUGGCGCCCCCUAGAACGUAAACCGUGGGGUGCAGCGUCAUGAUUUUUACAACUUUGAAUGGGCAUGGGGUGUAGAUUGCCCUGAGCAAAUUUGGUAUCGGUGGGACGAAAGCCUUAGGAGGAGAUAGCCACAUUACAAUGUGUGCGAAUCGGCAAAAAAUGCAAAAUAGCCCUUUAACCGUACAUUAUAAAGAUACGCGCUCUUUGACUUUUUCGUAGAUCUAAUUGAGAUACACAUGAUUGUCAAUUUUUGUGUCAAUAUGACAAAGCGUUCAGGCGUGACACUCAACAAUGUGUAUUUUCAUGUAAGGGGACAAGAAAAAAUUGACUUUUUUCUCCUACCAUGGGGGGGCGCUCUUUUGGGGAGUAAAAAUUCCUUCACAAAUGUGUUGAUGGCUGGACAUUGCAUCAUCCUAGAAAACUUGGAGGCCAGUGAGGACAAAAAUAAAAAGUUAUAAAACAUUUAAGAAUGUGGAUUUUUGGGUUAUUUUUGGCGCCCCCUAGAACCUAAACCAUGGGGUGCAGCAUCAUGAUUUGAAUAACUUUUAAUGGCCAUGGGGUGUAGAUUGGCCUGAGCAAAUGUGGUGCCGGUGGAACGAAAGCCUUCGGAGGAGUUAGCGAAAUUCCAAUGUGUGCGUAUCGGCAAAAAAUGCGGAAUAACCCUUUAACUGUACAUUUGACAGAUACGCGCGCAUUGACUUUUUUGUAGAUCUUAUUGAGAUACAUGUGUGUGUCAAUUUUUGUGUAAUUUUGACAAAGCAUACAGGCGUGACAGUCAAUAGUGUGAAUUUUCACCUUAUGGGACAAGAAAAAAUGGACUUUUUUCUCCUGCCAUGGGGGGGCGCUCUUUUGGGGAGUAAAAAUUCCUUCACAAAUGUGUUGAUGGCUGGACAUUGCAUCAUCCUAGAAAACUUGGAGGCCAGUGAGGGCAAAAAUAAAAAGUUAUAAGACUUUGAAAUAUGUGGAUUUUAGGGUUAUCUUUGGCGCCCCCUAGAACCUAAACCGUGGGGUGCAGCGUCAUGAUUUGAAUAACUUUUAAUGGCCAUGGGGUGUAGAUUGGCCUGAGCAAAUGUGGUGCCGGUGGAACGAAAGCCUUCGGAGGAGUUAGCGAAAUUCCAAUGUGUGCGGAUUGGCAAAAAAUGCGCAAUAACCCUUUAACCGUACAUUUGACAGAUACGCCCGCACUGACUUUUUUGUAGAUCUUAUUGAGAUACAUGUGUGUGUCAAUUUUUGUGUCAUUUUGACAAAGCGUACAGGCGUCAGGUGAAUUUUUCACCUUAGGGGGCGCUAUGGAGCCAUUUUGCAUUGUAUUGUUUGGGCGACUUCAGAAUAUCAAAUUUUUCACCAGGCCCGGUCAUCCUGCCAAAUUUCAUGAGUUUUCGCCAGUGGGAAGUGGGCCAUUUUCCAGUUCAAAGGGGAGGAAAAAGAAAAAACUAGGGCCCCGUUGGGGCACUGGCGGGCCCGAGCUGUGUCGCGCCGCCCCCAACACGACCGCCUCUCCCUCCCGAUCGCAUCACACUCAAGGUCCAAAGAUGGUGUGCGCACUUGUCUGUGGUCAUUUACCAUUAUAAUGAAUGGGAGGCGCAGUUUCUACCAAAACGCUCGCUGCAGACAAACUCCAUGUCCUAUUUGAAAAAAGUCUGGACCAUGAGUGAGGGCACAAACACAGCUAGGAUAUAUCCAAAUGGCAAGUUGUUACUCCUUUCGGUUUUGCCGAGAGGGCGAUGUGUUUGAGCCAUUGAGCGAUGGGCAGGAAAAACUGGACUUUUUCUCCUACCAUGGGGGGGCACUCUUUUAGGGAGUAAAAAUUCCUUCACAAAUGUGUUGAUGGCUAGACAUUGCAUCAUCCUAGAAAACUUGGAAGCCAGUCAGGACAAAAAUAAUAAGUUAUAAGACUUUUAAGAAUGUGGAUUUUUGGGUUAUCUUUGGCGCCCCCUAGAACGUAAACCGUGGGGUGCAGCAUCAUGAUUUUUACAACUUUGAAUGGCCAUGGGGUGUAGAUUGGCCUGAGCAAAUUUGGUGCCGGUGGAACGAAAGCCUUCAGAGGAGUUAGCGAAAUUCCAAUGUGUGCGUAUCGGCAAAAAAUGCGAAAUAGCCCUUUAACCGUACAUUGAACAGAAACGCCCGCGCUGACUUUUUUGUAGAUCUUAUUGAGAUACACGUGUGUGUCAAAUUUUGUGUCAAUAUGACAAAGCGUAUAGGCGUGACACUCAACAAUAUGUAUUUUCACCUUAGGGGACAAGAAAAAAUGGACCUUUUUCUCCUGCCAUGGGGGGGCGCUCUUUUGGGGAGUAAAAAUUCCUUCACAAAUGUGUUGAUGGCUGGACAUUGCAUCAUCCUAGAAAACUUGGAGGCCAGUGAGGACAAAAGUAAAAAGUUAUAAGACUUUUAAGAAUGUGGAUUUUUGGGUUAUCUUUGGCGCCCCCUAGAACGUAAACCGUGGGGUGCAGCGUCAUGAUUUGUACAACUUUGAAUGGCCAUGGGGUGUAGAUUGGCCUGAGCAAAUUUGGUGCCGGUGGAACGAAAGCCUUCGGAGGAGUUAGCGAAAUUCCAAUGUGUGCGGAUCGGCAAAAAAUGCGAAAUAGCCCUUUAACCGUACAUUUGACAGAUACGCCCGCGCUGACUUUUUUGUAGAUCUUAUUGAGAUACACGUGUGUGUCAAAUUUUGUGUCAUUUUGACAAAGCGUACAGGCGUGACACUCAAUCAUGUGAAUUUUUCACCUUAGGGGGCGCUAUGGAGCCAUUUUGCAUUUGAUUGUUUGGGCGGCUUCAGAAUAUCGAAUUUUUCACCAGGCCCGGUUGUCCUGCCAAAUUUCAUGAGUUUUCACCAGUGGGAAGUGGGCCAUUUUCCAGUUCAAAGGGGCAGAAAAAUAAUAAGAAGAAGAAGAAGAACUAGGACCCCGUUGGGGCACUGGCGGGCCCGAGCCGUGUCGCGUUGGAUAUCACUGUCACCUACACAGGACAGUCAUUACCUUUCUAUUAAUACUUUGUGUUUUAAUUUCACAUUAAUUUCCAUAUUGUAUAAACGACUGGAAAAAACUUGAGCCCCUGCCCCUGUAUAAUCAUGUGCAUGUCUCUGUUCUAGCUCCAAGGUGAAUCUUCACUGCUCAUGUUCUCCUCAGAAGCACUCACCUCACUCCCCUCAGGUUACUGUACACAUGCACCAACUGCCUGCUUCAGGUUUGGAUGGAGCUUCAUGGUUGUCUUUUGGAGAAAUGACCAGUCAAGUUGUGUUUGAAAUUUGAUUUUUUUCAGGGGCAAAAGGAGCCUCUGCAUUCUUGUCAAAUAUGUAAAUAGCAUGUUUUUGCAGGUGCUAAAAACCAGACUCUGAGUGUGUGUGUGUGUGUGUGUGUGUGUGUGUGUGCGUGUGUGUGUGUCUAUGUGUGCGUUCAAGUCACAUGACAUAUUUAACCGGAUGUAGCUGCAAGACGGAGCCUCGUUGACUCUCCGUUUCAACUUAUCUCAAAAGUGAGGACCUCAACCUAUAUACCAGUUUUUAAAUUGUGUUGAUAGGCCAAAUAAAACCAGAGUUAUGAUAAAUUAUGUCCGCGAUACUUUUUUUCUGCUUAUUUUGAUCACGUUCGGCGCUCGAUCGCGCUGUAUGAGACAGGAAAACAUAGCAUGCAGACAUUAGGGACAGGUCUUACAGGCGGAAAAGGCUUGCCAAAAGAAAAAAAAAACACACCACAACAUCUCUCCUAUUGGUGGAAAACUUCACCACAACAACCAAUCCAAAAUUAUAUGGUGACUGAUUGACAAGGGGCGGGCGCUUACGUUCUUCCUGCAACAUGAGAAGCGAGGGAGGGACUCUCAGCAGGGAUGCAGUCUGGGACACGUAGUUGCAAACCUAGCGACUUUGUUGUUAGAUUCAAUGACUUUUCAGACCCCCUAACGACUUUUUUUUAGAAAGAAAGGGACUUUUAUCGACUUCUUCUGGAGUUUAGAGACUCUGACAUGAAGCAGGCUUUCCUUACUGAGGAGUUAGCAACGCUGCUAAGGGUGCAGAGCCACACAUGCGCUCAGAGCUCUGCAUGGGAGACUGAAGCUGACAGAGCUGCAGCAGUUAGCAGGUUUCACCCUCAGAGACCACCAGGGGUUCAUGUUGAGGCAUUUUAAUUUUUUUUUUUUUUUUGCCAUAGACACUGUCAGCACAAUCUGCAGUUACACUAACAAAAAUGCUGCAAAAAACAAAGAAUUAUGGAAAAAUUACACAUGGACUGACAUAGAGGAGGAUCUACACAAGUUUUUUACAUCAUGUUUUACAUCAUGCAUCAUUUACAUCAUGUUUUUUUGUAGUGGCAUAAAUAAAAAGUGACAUUUGUGAGACUAUACAUUGUUUUGUAAAUAAUUUUACAAAGAACGCCUAGGCCAUUGCCUGCAUUUUGAUGUAAAUAGAGGUAAAUUACUAUGUUCUUUGUUAAAAAUUUGCAUAUGUUUUGAAGUUUACAAUUUUUAUUUGAAGUUUAAGUUUUAAAAACAGUUCAUCACACAUAUUUGUGGUUUAAUUUCACAUUAAUUUCCAUAUUGUAUAAAUGACUGGAAAAAACUUGAGCCCCUGUAUAAUCAUGUGCACGUCCCUGUUCUAGCUCCAAGGUGAAUCUUCACUGCUCAUGUUCUCCUCAGAAAUAGUCACCUCACUCCCCUCAGGUUACUGUACACAUGCACCAACUAUCUGCUUCAGGUUUGAAAUGGAGCUUCAUGGUUGUCUUUUGGAGAAAUGAACGGUCAAGUUGUGUUUGAAAUUUGAUUUUUUUCAGGGGCAAAAGGAAGCCUCUGCAUUCUUGUCAAAUAUGUAAACAGCAUGUUUUUGCAGGUGCUAAAAAACAGACUCUGAGUGUGGGUGUGUGUCUGUGUGUGUGUGUGUGUGUGUGUGUGUAUGUUGGCGUGUGUGUAUAUGUGUGUGUAUCCUGCAGUACUCUGUACUCCUGCAGUGGCCAAAAAGACUUUUAAGAAUGUGGAUUUUUGGGUCAUCUUUGGCGCCCCCUAGAACUGCAGUACUCUGUACUCCUGCAGUGGCCAAAAUGACUUUUAAGAAUGUGGAUUUUUGGGUCAUCUUUGGCGCCCCCUAGAACCUAAACCGUGGGGUGCAGCGUCAUGAUUUUUACAACUUUGAAUGGGCAUGGGGUGUAGAUUGCCCUGAGCAAAUUUGGUAUCGGUGGGACGAAAGCCUUAGGAGGAGAUAGCCACAUUCCAAUGUGUGCGAAUCAGCAAAAAAUGCAAAAUAACCCUUUAACCGUACAUUAUACAGAUACGCGCUCUUUGACUUUUUCGUAGAUCUAAUUAAGAUACACAUGAUUGUCAAUUUUUGUGUCAAUAUGACAAAGCGUAUAGGCGUGAAUCUCAACAAUAUGUAUUUUCACCUUAGUGGACAAGAAAAAAUGGACUUUUUUCUCCUGCCAUGGGGGGGCGCUCUUUUGGAGAGUAAAAAUUCCUUCACAAAUGUGUUGAUGGCUGGACAUUGCAUCAUCCUAGAAAACUUGGAGGCCAGUGGGGACAAAAAUAAAAAGUUAUAAGACUUUUAAAUAUGUGGAUUUUACGGUUAUCUUUGGCGCCCCCUAGAACCUAAACCGUGGGGUGCAGCGUCAUGAUUUGAAUAACUUUUAAUGGCCAUGGGGUGUAGAUUGGCCUGAGCAAAUGUGGUGCCGGUGGAACGAAAGCCUUCGGAGGAGUUAGCGAAAUUCCAAUGUGUGCGGAUCGGCAAAAAAUGCGGAAUAACCCUUUAACUGUACAUUUGACAGAUACGCGCGCAUUGACUUUUUCGUAGAUCUUAUUGAGAUACAUGUGUGUGUCAAUUUUUGUGUCAUUUUGCCAAAGCGUACAGGUGUUACACUCAACAAUGUGUAUUUUCAUGUAAGGGGACAAGAAAAAAUGGACUUUUUUCUCCUGCCAUGGGGGGGGCGCUCUUUUGGGGAGUAAAAAUUCCUUCACAAAUGUGUUGAUGGCUGGACAUUGCAUCAUCCUAGAAAACUUGGAGGGCAGUGAGGACAAAAAUAAAAAGUUAUAAGACUUUUAAGAAUGUGGAUAUUUGGGUUAUCUUUGGCGCCCCCUAGAACCUAAACCGUGGGGUGCAGCGUCAUGAUUUGUACAACUUUUAAUGGCCAUGGGGGGUAGAUUGGCCUGCGCAAAUGUGGUGCCGGUCGAACGAAAGCCUUCGGAGGAGUUAGCGAAAUUCCAAUGUGUGCAGAUCUGCAAAAAAUGCAAAAUAACCCAUUAACCGUACAUUUGACAGAUACGCCCGCACUGACUUUUUUGUAGAUCUUAUUGAGAUACAUGUGUGUGUCAAUUUUUGUGUCAAUAUGACAAAGCGUACAGCCGUCAUGUGAAUUUUCACCUUAGGGGGCGCUAUGGAGCCAUUUUGCAUUUUAUUGUUUGGGCGACUUCAGAAUAUCGAAUUUUUCACCAGGCCCGGUCGUCCUGCCAAAUUUCCUGAGUUUUUGCCAGUGGGAAGUGGGCCAUUUUCCAGUUUAAAGCGGAGGAAAAAUAAUAACGAAAGAAGGAAACAUGCAGGAACAAGAGGGCUCUCGCAGCUGCUUAGCAGCUACGCUCGGGCCCUAAAGAAGAAUCCAUCAGGAACAACAGGGCUCUCGCAGCUGCUUAGCAGCUACGCUCGGGCCCUAAAAAGAAGGAAACAUGCAGGAACAAGAGGGCUCUCGCAGCUGCUUAGCAGCUACGCUCGGGCCCUAAAAAGAAAGAAAGAAACAAAGAAAAACCACUUGGGGAAUAAUAGGGCCUACGCCCGGCUGCUCUGCAGCUGGCUCGGGCCCUAAAGAAAGAAACAAAGAAAAACCACUUGGGGAAUAAUAGGGCUCUCGCAGCUGCUUAGCAGCUACGCUCGGGCCCUAAAGAAAGAAAGAAACAAAGAAAAACCACUUGGGGAAUAAUAGGGCUCUCGCAGCUGCUUAGCAGCUACGCUCGGGCCCUAAAGAAAGAAACAAAGAAAAACCACUUGGGGAAUAAUAGGGCUCUCGCAGCUGCUUAGCAGAUAAAUAAAACCAGAGUUAUGAUAAAUUAUGUCCGCGAUACUUUUUUUCUGCUUAUUUUGAUCACGUUCGGCGCUCGAUCGCGCUGUAUGAGACAGGAAAACAUAGCAUGCAGACAUUAGCGACAGGUCUUACAGGCGGAAAAGGCUUGCCAAAAGAAAAAAAAAACACACCACAACAUCUCUCCUAUUGGUGGAAAACUUCACCACAACAACCAAUCCAAAAUUAUAUGGUGACUGAUUGACAAGGGGCGGGCGCUUACGUUCUUCCUGCAACAUGAGAAGCGAGGGAGGGACUCUCAGCAGGGAUGCAGUCUGGGACACGUAGUUGCAAACCUAGCGACUUUGUUGUUAGAUUCAAUGACUUUUCAGACCCCCUAACGACUUUUUUUUUUAGAAAGAAAGGGAAUUUUAUCGACUUCCUCUGGAGUUUAGAGACUCUGACAUGAAGCAGGCUUUCCUUACUGAGGAGUUAGCAACGCUGCUAAGGGUGCAGAGCCACACAUGCGCUCCGAGCUCUGCAUGGGAGACUAAAGCUGACAGAGCUGCAGCAGUUAGCAGGUUUCACCCUCAGAGACCACCAGGGGUUCAUGUUGAGGCAUUUUCAGUUUUUUUUUUUUUUUUUGCCAUAGACACUGUCAGCACAAUCUGCAGUUACACUAACAAAAAUGCUGCAAAAAACAAAGAAUUAUGGAAAAAUUACACAUGGACUGACAUAGAGGAGGAUCUACACAAGUUUUUUACAUCAUGUUUUACAUCAUGCAUCAUUUACAUCAUGUUUUUUUGUAGUGGCAUAAAUAAAAAGUGACAUUUGUGAGACUAUACAGUGUUUUGUAAAUAAUUUUACAAAGAACGCCUGGGCCAUUGCCUGCAUUUUGAUGUAAAUAGAGGUAAAUUACUAUGUUCUUUGUUAAAAAUUUGCAUAUGUUUUGAAGUUUACAAUUUUUAUUUGAAGUUUAAGUUUUAAAAACAGUUCAUCACACAUAUUUGUGGUUUAAUUUCACAUUAAUUUCCAUAUUGUAUAAAUGACUGGAAAAAACUUGAGCCCCUGCCCCUGUAUAAUCAUGUGCACGUCCCUGUUCUAGCUCCAAGGUGAAUCUUCACUGCUCAUGUUCUCCUCAGAAAUAGUCACCUCACUCCCCUCAGGUUACUGUACACAUGCACCAACUAUCUGCUUCAGGUUUGAAAUGGAGCUUCAUGGUUGUCUUUUGGAGAAAUGAACAGUCAAGUUGUGUUUGAAAUUUGAUUUUUUUCAGGGGCAAAAGGAAGCCUCUGCAUUCUUGUCAAAUAUGUAAACAGCAUGUUUUUGCAGGUGCUAAAAAACAGACUCUGAGUGUGUGUGUGUGUCUGUGUGUGUGUGUGUGUGUGUGUGUGUGUGUAUAUGUUGGCGUGUGUGUAUAUGUGUGUGUAUCCUGCAGUACUCUGUACUCCUGCAGUGGCCAAAAAGACUUUUAAGAAUGUGGAUUUUUGGGUCAUCUUUGGCGCCCCCUAGAACUGCAGUACUCUGUACUCCUGCAGUGGCCAAAAUGACUUUUAAGAAUGUGGAUUUUUGGGUCAUCUUUGGCGCCCCCUAGAACGUAAACCGUGGGGUGCAGCGUCAUGAUUUUUACAACUUUGAAUGGGCAUGGGGUGUAGAUUGCCCUGAGCAAAUUUGGUAUCGGUGGGACGAAAGCCUUAGGAGGAGAUAGCCACAUUCCAAUGUGUGCGAAUCGGCAAAAAAUGCAAAAUAGCCCUUUAACCGUACAUUAUACAGAUACGCGCUCUUUGACUUUUUCGUAGAUCUAAUUGAGAUACACAUGAUUGUCAAUUUUUGUGUCAAUAUGGCAAAGCGUUCAGGCGUGACACUCAACAAUGUGUAUUUUUAUGUAAGGGGACAAGAAAAAAUUGACUUUUUUCUCCUACCAUGGGGGGGCGCUCUUUUGGGGAGUAAAAAUUCCUUCACAAAUGUGUUGAUGGCUGGACAUUGCAUCAUCCUAGAAAACUUGGAGGCCAGUGAGGACAAAAAUAAAAAGUUAUAAAACAUUUAAGAAUGUGGAUUUUUGGGUUAUUUUUGGCGCCCCCUAGAACCUAAACCAUGGGGUGCAGCAUCAUGAUUUGAAUAACUUUUAAUGGCCAUGGGGUGUAGAUUGGCCUGAGCAAAUGUGGUGCCGGUGGAACGAAAGCCUUCGGAGGAGUUAGCGAAAUUCCAAUGUGUGCGUAUCGGCAAAAAAUGCGGAAUAACCCUUUAACUGUACAUUUGACAGAUACGCGCGCAUGGACUUUUUUGUAGAUCUUAUUGAGUUACAUGUGUGUGUCAAUUUUUGUGUCAUUUUGACAAAGCGUAUAGGCGUGACACUCAACAAUGUGUAUUUUCACCUUAGGGGACAAGAAAAAAUUGACUUUUUUCUCCUGCCAUGGGGGGGCGCUCUUUUGGGGAGUAAAAAUUCCUUCACAAAUGUGUUGAUGGCUGGACAUUGCAUCAUCCUAGAAAACUUGGAGGCCAGUGAGGACAAAAAUAAAAAGUUAUAAGACUUUUAAAUAUGUGGAUUUUAGUGUUAUCUUUGGCGCCCCCUAGAACCUAAACCUUGGGGUGCAGCGUCAUGAUUUUGAUAACUUUUAAUGGCCACAGGGUGUAGAUUGGCCUGAGCCAAUGUGGUGCCGGUGGAACGAAAGCCUUCGGAGGAGUUAGCGAAAUUCCAAUGUGUGCGGAUCGGCAAAAAAUGCGAAAUAACCCUUUAACCGUAAUUUUGACAGAUACGGCCGCACUGACUUUUUUGUAGAUCUUAUUGAGAUACAUAUGUGUGUCAAUUUUUGUGUCAAUAUGACAAAGCGUACAGGCGUGACAGUCAAUAGUGUGAAUUUCCACCUUAGGGGGCGCUAUGGAGCCAUUUUGCAUUUUAUUGUUUGGGCGACUUCAGAAUAUCGAAUUUUUCACCAGGCCCGGUCGUCCUGCCAAAUUUCAUGAGUUUUCGCCAGUGGGAAGUGGGCCAUUUUCCAGUUCAAAGGGGAGGAAAAAGAAGAAAGAAAGAAAGAAAGAAAGAAAGAACUAGGACCCCGUUGGGGCACUGGCGGGCCCGAGCCGUGUCGCGUCCCCCCUCAACGUGCUGCCUCCCCGUCCCAUUUGUGUCCUCUGGCCAUCGCCCUCUCUGGUAACGCCCAUCACUGCAAAGACCCUUUUCCUUCAUCGGCGUUUGCUGUUCUUCCUGCCAGUGCGUGUUGCUUUCACUUACACUUGCCACAGCCAGCCUCGUGAGUGCCUAGCCUAUUGGAUAUCACUGUCACCUACACAGGACAGUCAUUACCUUUCUAUUAAUACUUUGUGUUUUAAUUUCACAUUAAUUUCCAUAUUGUAUAAACGACUGGAAAAAACUUGAGCCCCUGCCCCUGUAUAAUCAUGUGCAUGUCUCUGUUCUAGCUCCAAGGUGAAUCUUCACUGCUCAUGUUCUCCUCAGAAGCACUCACCUCACUCCCCUCAGGUUACUGUACACAUGCACCAACAUCCUGCUUCAGGUUUGGAUGGAGCUUCAUGGUUGUCUUUUGGAGAAAUGACCAGUCAAGUUGUGUUUGAAAUUUGAUUUUUUUCAGGGGCAAAAGGAGCCUCUGCAUUCUUGUCAAAUAUGUAAAUAGCAUGUUUUUGCAGGUGCUAAAAACCAGACUCUGAGUGUGUGUGUGUGUGUGUGUGUGUGUGUGUGUGUGUGUGUGUGUGUGUGUGUCUAUGUGUGCGUUCAAAUCACAUGACAUAUUUAACCGGAUGUAGCUGCAAGACGGAGCCUCGUUGACUCUCCGUUUCAACUUAUCUCAAAAGUGAGGACCUCAACCUAUAUACCAGUUUUUAAAUUGUGUUGAUAGGCCAAAUAAAACCAGAGUUAUGAUAAAUUAUGUCCGCGAUACUUUUUUUCUGCUUAUUUUGAUCACGUUCUGCGCUCGAUCGCGCUGUAUGAGACAGGAAAACAUAGCAUGCAGACAUUAGCGACAGGUCUUACAGGCGGAAAAGGCUUGCCAAAGGAAAAAAAAAACACACCACAACAUCUCUCCUAUUGGUGGAAAACUUCACCACAACAACCAAUCCAAAAUUAUAUGGUGAGUGAUUGACAAGGGGCGGGCGCUUACGUUCUUCCUGCAACAUGAGAAGGGAGGGAGGGACUCUCAGCAGGGAUGCAGUCUGGGACACGUAGUUGCAAACCUAGCGACUUUGUUGUUAGAUUCAAUGACUUUUCAGACCCCCUAACGACUUUUUUUUAGAAAGAAAGGGACUUUUAUCGACUUCUUCUGGAGUUUAGAGACUCUGACAUGAAGCAGGCUUUCCUUACUGAGGAGUUAGCAACGCUGCUAAGGGUGCAGAGCCACACAUGCGCUCCGAGCUCUGCAUGGGAGACUGAAGCUGACAGAGCUGCAGCAGUUAGCAGGUUUCACCCUCAGAGACCACCAGGGGUUCAUGUUGAGGCAUUUUAAUUUUUUUUUUUUUUUGUGCCAUAGACACUGUCAGCACAAUCUGCAGUUACACUAACAAAAAUGCUGCAAAAAACAAAGAAUUAUGGAAAAAUUACACAUGGACUGACAUAGAGGAGGAUCUACACAAGUUUUUUACAUCAUGUUUUACAUCAUGCAUCAUUUACAUCAUGUUUUUUUGUAGUGGCAUAAAUAAAAAGUGACAUUUGUGAGACUAUACAGUGUUUUGUAAAUAAUUUUACAAAGAACGCCUGGGCCAUUGCCUGCAUUUUGAUGUAAAUAGAGGUAAAUUACUAUGUUCUUUGUUAAAAAUUUGCAUAUGUUUUGAAGUUUACAAUUUUUAUUUGAAGUUUAAGUUUUAAAAACAGUUCAUCACACAUAUUUGUGGUUUAAUUUCACAUUAAUUUCCAUAUUGUAUAAAUGACUGGAAAAAACUUGAGCCCCUGCCCCUGUAUAAUCAUGUGCACGUCCCUGUUCUAGCUCCAAGGUGAAUCUUCACUGCUCAUGUUCUCCUCAGAAAUAGUCACCUCACUCCCCUCAGGUUACUGUACACAUGCACCAACUAUCUGCUUCAGGUUUGAAAUGGAGCUUCAUGGUUGUCUUUUGGAGAAAUGAACAGUCAAGUUGUGUUUGAAAUUUGAUUUUUUUCAGGGGCAAAAGGAAGCCUCUGCAUUCUUGUCAAAUAUGUAAACAGCAUGUUUUUGCAGGUGCUAAAAAACAGACUCUGAGUGUGUGUGUGUGUCUGUGUGUGUGUGUGUGUGUGUGUGUGUGUGUGUAUAUGUUGGCGUGUGUGUAUAUGUGUGUGUAUCCUGCAGUACUCUGUACUCCUGCAGUGGCCAAAAAGACUUUUAAGAAUGUGGAUUUUUGGGUCAUCUUUGGCGCCCCCUAGAACUGCAGUACUCUGUACUCCUGCAGUGGCCAAAAUGACUUUUAAGAAUGUGGAUUUUUGGGUCAUCUUUGGCGCCCCCUAGAACGUAAACCGUGGGGUGCAGCGUCAUGAUUUUUACAACUUUGAAUGGGCAUGGGGUGUAGAUUGCCCUGAGCAAAUUUGGUAUCGGUGGGACGAAAGCCUUAGGAGGAGAUAGCCACAUUCCAAUGUGUGCGAAUCGGCAAAAAAUGCAAAAUAGCCCUUUAACCGUACAUUAUACAGAUACGCGCUCUUUGACUUUUUCGUAGAUCUAAUUGAGAUACACAUGAUUGUCAAUUUUUGUGUCAAUAUGGCAAAGCGUUCAGGCGUGACACUCAACAAUGUGUAUUUUUAUGUAAGGGGACAAGAAAAAAUUGACUUUUUUCUCCUACCAUGGGGGGGCGCUCUUUUGGGGAGUAAAAAUUCCUUCACAAAUGUGUUGAUGGCUGGACAUUGCAUCAUCCUAGAAAACUUGGAGGCCAGUGAGGACAAAAAUAAAAAGUUAUAAAACAUUUAAGAAUGUGGAUUUUUGGGUUAUUUUUGGCGCCCCCUAGAACCUAAACCAUGGGGUGCAGCAUCAUGAUUUGAAUAACUUUUAAUGGCCAUGGGGUGUAGAUUGGCCUGAGCAAAUGUGGUGCCGGUGGAACGAAAGCCUUCGGAGGAGUUAGCGAAAUUCCAAUGUGUGCGUAUCGGCAAAAAAUGCGGAAUAACCCUUUAACUGUACAUUUGACAGAUACGCGCGCAUGGACUUUUUUGUAGAUCUUAUUGAGUUACAUGUGUGUGUCAAUUUUUGUGUCAUUUUGACAAAGCGUAUAGGCGUGACACUCAACAAUGUGUAUUUUCACCUUAGGGGACAAGAAAAAAUUGACUUUUUUCUCCUGCCAUGGGGGGGCGCUCUUUUGGGGAGUAAAAAUUCCUUCACAAAUGUGUUGAUGGCUGGACAUUGCAUCAUCCUAGAAAACUUGGAGGCCAGUGAGGACAAAAAUAAAAAGUUAUAAGACUUUUAAAUAUGUGGAUUUUAGUGUUAUCUUUGGCGCCCCCUAGAACCUAAACCUUGGGGUGCAGCGUCAUGAUUUUGAUAACUUUUAAUGGCCACAGGGUGUAGAUUGGCCUGAGCCAAUGUGGUGCCGGUGGAACGAAAGCCUUCGGAGGAGUUAGCGAAAUUCCAAUGUGUGCGGAUCGGCAAAAAAUGCGAAAUAACCCUUUAACCGUAAUUUUGACAGAUACGGCCGCACUGACUUUUUUGUAGAUCUUAUUGAGAUACAUAUGUGUGUCAAUUUUUGUGUCAAUAUGACAAAGCGUACAGGCGUGACAGUCAAUAGUGUGAAUUUCCACCUUAGGGGGCGCUAUGGAGCCAUUUUGCAUUUUAUUGUUUGGGCGACUUCAGAAUAUCGAAUUUUUCACCAGGCCCGGUCGUCCUGCCAAAUUUCAUGAGUUUUCGCCAGUGGGAAGUGGGCCAUUUUCCAGUUCAAAGGGGAGGAAAAAGAAGAAAGAAAGAAAGAAAGAAAGAAAGAACUAGGACCCCGUUGGGGCACUGGCGGGCCCGAGCCGUGUCGCGUCCCCCCUCAACGUGCUGCCUCCCCGUCCCAUUUGUGUCCUCUGGCCAUCGCCCUCUCUGGUAACGCCCAUCACUGCAAAGACCCUUUUCCUUCAUCGGCGUUUGCUGUUCUUCCUGCCAGUGCGUGUUGCUUUCACUUACACUUGCCACAGCCAGCCUCGUGAGUGCCUAGCCUAUUGGAUAUCACUGUCACCUACACAGGACAGUCAUUACCUUUCUAUUAAUACUUUGUGUUUUAAUUUCACAUUAAUUUCCAUAUUGUAUAAACGACUGGAAAAAACUUGAGCCCCUGCCCCUGUAUAAUCAUGUGCAUGUCUCUGUUCUAGCUCCAAGGUGAAUCUUCACUGCUCAUGUUCUCCUCAGAAGCACUCACCUCACUCCCCUCAGGUUACUGUACACAUGCACCAACAUCCUGCUUCAGGUUUGGAUGGAGCUUCAUGGUUGUCUUUUGGAGAAAUGACCAGUCAAGUUGUGUUUGAAAUUUGAUUUUUUUCAGGGGCAAAAGGAGCCUCUGCAUUCUUGUCAAAUAUGUAAAUAGCAUGUUUUUGCAGGUGCUAAAAACCAGACUCUGAGUGUGUGUGUGUGUGUGUGUGUGUGUGUGUGUGUGUGUGUGUGUGUGUGUGUCUAUGUGUGCGUUCAAAUCACAUGACAUAUUUAACCGGAUGUAGCUGCAAGACGGAGCCUCGUUGACUCUCCGUUUCAACUUAUCUCAAAAGUGAGGACCUCAACCUAUAUACCAGUUUUUAAAUUGUGUUGAUAGGCCAAAUAAAACCAGAGUUAUGAUAAAUUAUGUCCGCGAUACUUUUUUUCUGCUUAUUUUGAUCACGUUCUGCGCUCGAUCGCGCUGUAUGAGACAGGAAAACAUAGCAUGCAGACAUUAGCGACAGGUCUUACAGGCGGAAAAGGCUUGCCAAAGGAAAAAAAAAACACACCACAACAUCUCUCCUAUUGGUGGAAAACUUCACCACAACAACCAAUCCAAAAUUAUAUGGUGACUGAUUGACAAGGGGCGGGCGCUUACGUUCUUCCUGCAACAUGAGAAGGGAGGGAGGGACUCUCAGCAGGGAUGCAGUCUGGGACACGUAGUUGCAAACCUAGCGACUUUGUUGUUAGAUUCAAUGACUUUUCAGACCCCCUAACGACUUUUUUUAGAAAGAAAGGGACUUUUAUCGACUUCUUCUGGAGUUUAGAGACUCUGACAUGAAGCAGGCUUUCCUUACUGAGGAGUUAGCAACGCUGCUAAGGGUGCAGAGCCACACAUGCGCUCCGAGCUCUGCAUGGGAGACUGAAGCUGACAGAGCUGCAGCAGUUAGCAGGUUUCACCCUCAGAGACCACCAGGGGUUCAUGUUGAGGCAUUUUAAUUUUUUUUUUUUUUUUGUGCCAUAGACACUGUCAGCACAAUCUGCAGUUACACUAACAAAAAUGCUGCAAAAAACAAAGAAUUAUGGAAAAAUUACACAUGGACUGACAUAGAGGAGGAUCUACACAAGUUUUUUACAUCAUGUUUUACAUCAUGCAUCAUUUACAUCAUGUUUUUUUGUAGUGGCAUAAAUAAAAAGUGACAUUUGUGAGACUAUACAGUGUUUUGUAAAUAAUUUUACAAAGAACGCCUGGGCCAUUGCCUGCAUUUUGAUGUAAAUAGAGGUAAAUUACUAUGUUCUUUGUUAAAAAUUUGCAUAUGUUUUGAAGUUUACAAUUUUUAUUUGAAGUUUAAGUUUUAAAAACAGUUCAUCACACAUAUUUGUGGUUUAAUUUCACAUUAAUUUCCAUAUUGUAUAAAUGACUGGAAAAAACUUGAGCCCCUGCCCCUGUAUAAUCAUGUGCACGUCCCUGUUCUAGCUCCAAGGUGAAUCUUCACUGCUCAUGUUCUCCUCAGAAAUAGUCACCUCACUCCCCUCAGGUUACUGUACACAUGCACCAACUAUCUGCUUCAGGUUUGAAAUGGAGCUUCAUGGUUGUCUUUUGGAGAAAUGAACAGUCAAGUUGUGUUUGAAAUUUGAUUUUUUUCAGGGGCAAAAGGAAGCCUCUGCAUUCUUGUCAAAUAUGUAAACAGCAUGUUUUUGCAGGUGCUAAAAAACAGACUCUGAGUGUGUGUGUGUGUGUGUGUGUGUGUGUGUGUGUGUGUGUAUGUUGGCGUGUGUGUAUAUGUGUGUGUAUCCUGCAGUACUCUGUACUCCUGCAGUGGCCAAAAAGACUUUUAAGAAUGUGGAUUUUUGGGUCAUCUUUGGCGCCCCCUAGAACUGCAGUACUCUGUACUCCUGCAGUGGCCAAAAUGACUUUUAAGAAUGUGGAUUUUUGGGUCAUCUUUGGCGCCCCCUAGAACGUAAACCGUGGGGUGCAGCGUCAUGAUUUUUACAACUUUGAAUGGGCAUGGGGUGUAGAUUGCCCUGAGCAAAUUUGGUAUCGGUGGGACGAAAGCCUUAGGAGGAGAUAGCCACAUUCCAAUGUGUGCGAAUCGGCAAAAAAUGCGAAAUAGCCCUUUAACCGUACAUUAUACAGAUACGCGCUCUUUGACUUUUUCGUAGAUCUAAUUGAGAUACACAUGAUUGUCAAUUUUUGUGUCAAUAUGACAAAGCGUUCAGGCGUGACACUCAACAAUGUGUAUUUUUAUGUAAGGGGACAAGAAAAAAUGGACUUUUUUCUCCUGCCAUGGGGGGGCGCUCUUUUGGGGAGUAAAAAUUCCUUCACAAAUGUGUUGAUGGCUGGACAUUGCAUCAUCCUAGAAAACUUGGAGGCCAGUGAGGACAAAAAUAAAAAGUUAUAAGACUUUUAAAUAUGUGGAUUUUAGGGUUAUCUUUGGCGCCCCCUAGAACCUAAACCGUGGGGUGCAGCGUCAUGAUUUUGAUAACUUUUAAUGGCCAUGGGGUGUAGAUUGGCCUGAGAAAAUGUGGUGCCGGUGGAACGAAAGCCUUAGGAGGAGUAAGCGAAAUUCCAAUGUGUGCGGAUCGGCAAAAAAUGCGGAAUAACCCUUUAACCGUACAUUUGACAGAUAUGCGCGCAUUGACUUUUUCGUAGAUCUUCUUGAGUUACAUGUGUGUGUCAAUUUUUGUGUCAUUUUGACAAAGCGUAUAGGCGUGACACUCAACAAUGUGUAUUUUCACCUUAGGGGACAAGAAAAAAUGGACUUUUUUCUCCUGCCAUGGGGGGGCGCUCUUUUGGGGAGUAAAAAUUCCUUCACAAAUGUGUUGAUGGCUGGACAUUGCAUCAUCCUAGAAAACUUGGAGGCCAGUGAGGACAAAAAUAAAAAGUUAUAAGACUUUUAAAUAUGUGGAUUUUAGGGUUAUCUUUGGCGCCCCCUAGAACCUAAACCGUGGGGUGCAGCGUCAUGAUUUUGAUAACUUUUAAUGGCCAUGGGGUGUAGAUUGGCCUGAGCAAAUGUGGUGCCGGUGGAACGAAAGCCUUAGGAGGAGUUAGCGAAAUUCCAAUGUGUGCGGAUCGGCAAAAAAUGCGGAAUAACCCUUUAACCGUACAUUUGACAGAUAUGGGCGCAUUGACUUUUUCGUAGAUCUUAUUGAGUUACAUGUGUGUGUCAAUUUUUGUGUCAUUUUGACAAAGCGUAUAGGCGUGACACUCAACAAUGUGUAUUUUCACCUUAGGGGACAAGAAAAAAUGGAAUUUUUUCUCCUGCCAUGGGGGGGCGCUCUUUGGGGAGUAAAAAUUCCUUCACAAAUGUGUUGAUGGCUGGACAUUGCAUCAUCCUAGAAAACUUGGAGGCCAGUGAGGACAAAAAUAAAAAGUUAUAAGACUUUUAAAUAUGUGGAUUUUAGUGUUAUCUUUGGCGCCCCCUAGAACCUAAACCUUGGGGUGCAGCGUCAUGAUUUUGAUAACUUUUAAUGGCCACGGGGUGUAGAUUGGCCUGAGCAAAUGUGGUGCCGGUGGAACGAAAGCCUUCGGAGGAGUUAGCGAAAUUCCAAUGUGUGCGGAUCGGCAAAAAAUGCAAAAUAACCCUUUAACCGUAAUUUUGACAGAUACGGCCGCACUGACUUUUUUGUAGAUCUUAUUGAGAUACAUAUGUGUGUCAAUUUUUGUGUCAAUAUGACAAAGCGUACAGGCGUGACAGUCAAUAGUGUGAAUUUUCACCUUAGGGGGCGCUAUGGAGCCAUUUUGCAUUUUAUUGUUUGGGCGACUUCAGAAUAUCAAAUUUUUCACCAGGCCCGGUCGUCCUGCCAAAUUUCAUGAGUUUUCGCCAGUGGGAAGUGGGCCAUUUUCCAGUUCAAAGGGGAGGAAAAAGAAAAAAGAAAGAAAGAAACAAAGAAAAACCACUUGGGGAAUAAUAGGGCCUACGCCCGGCUGCUCUGCAGCUGGCUCGGGCCCUAAUAACACUAGGACCCCGUUGGGGCACUGGCGGGCCCGAGCCGUGUCGCGUCUCCCCCCCCCCGCCCCCAACGUGCUGCCUUCCCGUCCCAUUUGUGUCCUCUGGCCAUCGCCCUCUCUGUUAACGCCCAUCACUGCAAAGACCCUUUUCCUUCAUCGGCGUUUGCUGUUCUUCCUGCCAGUGCGUGUUGCUUUCACUUACACUUGCCACAGCCAGCCUCGUGAGUGCCUAGCCUAUUGGAUAUCACUGUCACCUACACAGGACAGUCAUUACCUUUCUAUUAAUACUUUGUGUUUUAAUUUCACAUUAAUUUCCAUAUUGUAUAGACGACUGGAAAAAACUUGAGCCCCUGCCCCUGUAUAAUCAUGUGCAUGUCUCUGUUCUAGCUCCAAGGUGAAUCUUCGCUGCUCAUGUUCUCCUCAGAAGCACUCACCUCACUCCCCUCAGGUUACUGUACACAUGCACCAACUGCCUGCUUCAGGUUUGGAUGGAGCUUCAUGGUUGUCUUUUGGAGAAAUGACCAGUCAAGUUGUGUUUGAAAUUUGAUUUUUUUCAGGGGCAAAACGAGCCUCUGCAUUCUUGUCAAAUAUGUAAAUAGCAUGUUUUUGCAGGUGCUAAAAACCAGACUCUGAGUGUGUGUGUGUGUGUGUGUGUGUGUGUGUGUGUGUGUGUGUGUGUGUGUGUGUGUGUGUGAGUGUGUGUGUGUCUAUGUGUGAGUUCAAGUCACAUGACAUAUUUAACCGGAUGUAGCUGCAAGACGGAGCCUCGUUGACUCUCCGUUUCAACUUAUCUCAAAAGUGAGGACCUCAACCUAUAUACCAGUUUUUAAAUUGUGUUGAUAGGCCAAAUAAAACCAGAGUUAUGAUAAAUUAUGUCCGCGAUACUUGUUUUCUGCUUAUUUUGAUCACGUUCGGCGCUCGAUCGCGCUGUAUGAGACAGGAAAACAUAGCAUGCAGACAUUAGCGACAGGUCUUACAGGCGGAAAAGGCUUGCCAAAAGAAAAAAAAAACACACCACAACAUCUCUCCUAUUGGUGGAAAACUUCACCACAACAACCAAUCCAAAAUUAUAUGGUGACUGAUUGACAAGGGGCGGGCGCUUACGUUCUUCCUGCAACAUGAGAAGGGAGGGAGGGACUCUCAGCAGGGAUGCAGUCUGGGACACGUAGUUGCAAACCUAGCGACUUUGUUGUUAGAUUCAAUGACUUUUCAGACCCCCUAACGACUUUUUUAGAAAGAAAGGGACUUUUAUCGACUUCUUCUGGAGUUUAGAGACUCUGACAUGAAGCAGGCUUUCCUUACUGAGGAGUUAGCAACGCUGCUAAGGGUGCAAGCCACACAUGCGCUCAGAGCUCUGCAUGGGAGACUGAAGCUGACAGAGCUGCAGCAGUUAGCAGGUUUCACCCUCAGAGACCACCAGGGGUUCAUGUUGAGGCAUUUUAAUUUUUUUUUUUUUUUGUGCCAUAGACACUGUCAGCACAAUCUGCAGUUACACUAACAAAAAUGCUGCAAAAAACAAAGAAUUAUGGAAAAAUUACACAUGGACUGACAUAGAGGAGGAUCUACACAAGUUUUUUACAUCAUGUUUUACAUCAUGCAUCAUUUACAUCAUGUUUUUUUGUAGUGGCAUAAAUAAAAAGUGACAUUUGUGAGACUAUACAGUGUUUUGUAAAUAAUUUUACAAAGAACGCCUGGGCCAUUGCCUGCAUUUUGAUGUAAAUAGAGGUAAAUUACUAUGUUCUUUGUUAAAAAUUUGCAUAUGUUUUGAAGUUUACAAUUUUUAUUUGAAGUUUAAGUUUUAAAAACAGUUCAUCACACAUAUUUGUGGUUUAAUUUCACAUUAAUUUCCAUAUUGUAUAAAUGACUGGAAAAAACUUGAGCCCCUGCCCCUGUAUAAUCAUGUGCACGUCCCUGUUCUAGCUCCAAGGUGAAUCUUCACUGCUCAUGUUCUCCUCAGAAAUAGUCACCUCACUCCCCUCAGGUUACUGUACACAUGCACCAACUAUCUGCUUCAGGUUUGAAAUGGAGCUUCAUGGUUGUCUUUUGGAGAAAUGAACAGUCAAGUUGUGUUUGAAAUUUGAUUUUUUUCAGGGGCAAAAGGAAGCCUCUGCAUUCUUGUCAAAUAUGUAAACAGCAUGUUUUUGCAGGUGCUAAAAAACAGACUCUGAGUGUGUGUGUGUGUCUGUGUGUGUGUGUGUGUGUGUGUGUGUGUGUGUGUGUGUGUGUGUGUGUGUGUGUGUGUGUAUGUUGGCGUGUGUGUAUAUGUGUGUGUAUCCUGCAGUACUCUGUACUCCUGCAGUGGCCAAAAAGACUUUUAAGAAUGUGGAUUUUUGGGUCAUCUUUGGCGCCCCCUAGAACUGCAGUACUCUGUACUCCUGCAGUGGCCAAAAUGACUUUUAAGAAUGUGGAUUUUUGGGUCAUCUUUGGCGCCCCCUAGAACGUAAACCGUGGGGUGCAGCGUCAUGAUUUUUACAACUUUGAAUGGGCAUGGGGUGUAGAUUGCCCUGAGCAAAUUUGGUAUCGGUGGGACGAAAGCCUUAGGAGGAGAUAGCCACAUUCCAAUGUGUGCGAAUCGGCAAAAAAUGCAAAAUAGCCCUUUAACCGUACAUUAUACAGAUACGCGCUCUUUGACUUUUUCGUAGAUCUAAUUGAGAUACACAUGAUUGUCAAUUUUUGUGUCAAUAUGACAAAGCGUUCAGGCGUGACACUCAACAAUGUGUAUUUUUAUGUAAGGGGACAAGAAAAAAUUGACUUUUUUCUCCUACCAUGGGGGGGCGCUCUUUUGGGGAGUAAAAAUUCCUUCACAAAUGUGUUGAUGGCUGGACAUUGCAUCAUCCUAGAAAACUUGGAGGCCAGUGAGGACAAAAAUAAAAAGUUAUAAAACAUUUAAGAAUGUGGAUUUUUGGGUUAUUUUUGGCACCCCCUAGAACCUAAACCAUGGGGUGCAGCAUCAUGAUUUGAAUAACUUUUAAUGGCCAUGGGGUGUAGAUUGGCCUGAGCAAAUGUGGUGCCGGUGGAACGAAAGCCUUCGGAGGAGUUAGCGAAAUUCCAAUGUGUGCGUAUCGGCAAAAAAUGCGGAAUAACCCUUUAACUGUACAUUUGACAGAUAUGCGCGCAUGGACUUUUUUGUAGAUCUUAUUGAGUUACAUGUGUGUGUCAAUUUUUGUGUCAUUUUGACAAAGCGUAUAGGCGUGACACUCAACAAUGUGUAUUUUCACCUUAGGGGACAAGAAAAAAUGGACUUUUUUCUCCUGCCAUGGGGGGGCGCUCUUUUGGGGAGUAAAAAUUCCUUCACAAAUGUGUUGAUGGCUGGACAUUGCAUCAUCCUAGAAAACUUGGAGGCCAGUGAGGACAAAAAUAAAAAGUUAUAAGACUUUUAAAUAUGUGGAUUUUAGUGUUAUCUUUGGCGCCCCCUAGAACCUAAACCUUGCGGUGCAGCGUCAUGAUUUUGAUAACUUUUAAUGGCCACGGGGUGUAGAUUGGCCUGAGCAAAUGUGGUGCCGGUGGAACGAAAGCCUUCGGAGGAGUUAGCGAAAUUCCAAUGUGUGCGGAUCACCAAAAAAUGCGAAAUAACCCUUUAACCGUAAUUUUGACAGAUACGGCCGCACUGACUUUUUUGUAGAUCUUAUUGAGAUACAUAUGUGUGUCAAUUUUUGUGUCAAUAUGACAAAGCGUACAGGCGUGACAGUCAAUAGUGUGAAUUUCCACCUUAGGGGGCGCUAUGGAGCCAUUUUGCAUUUUAUUGUUUGGGCGACUUCAGAAUAUCGAAUUUUUCACCAGGCCCGGUCGUCCUGCCAAAUUUCAUGAGUUUUCGCCAGUGGGAAGUGGGCCAUUUUCCAGUUCAAAGGGGAGGAAAAAGAAGAAAGAAAGAAAGAAAGAAAGAAAGAAAGAAAGAAACAAAGAAAAACCACUUGGGGAAUAAUAGGGCCUACGCCCGGCUGCUCUGCAGCUGGCUCGGGCCCUAACUAGGGCCCCGGUGGGGCACUGUCGGGCCCGAGCCGCGUCGCGCCGCCCCCAGCGCGACCACCUCCCCCUCCCGAUCGCGUCACACUCAAGGUCCAAAGAUGGUGUGCGCACUUGUCUGUGGUCAUUUCCCAUUAUAAUGAAUGGGAGGCGCAGUUUCUACCAAAACACUCGCUGCAGACAAACUACAUGUCCUAUUUGAAAAAAGUCUGGACCUUGAGUGAGGGCACAAACACAGCUAGGAUAUAUCCAAACGGCAAGUUGCUCCUCGUUACGGUGUUGCCGGGAGAGCGAUGCGAUUGAGCCAUUGAGUGAUGGGCAGGAAAAACUUGACUGUUUCUCCUGCCAUGGGGGAUGGGGGAUGGGGGAUGGGGGGGUUGAUUCUUUUAAGAAUGUGGAUAUUUGGGUCAUCUUUGGCGCCCCCUAGAACGUAAACCGUGGGGUGCAGCGUCAUGAUUUUUACAACUUUGAAUGGCCAUGGGGUGUAGAUUGGCCUGAGCAAAUUUGGUGUCAGUGGGACGAAAGCCUUAGGAAGAGUUAGCCACAUUCCAAUGUGUGCGAAUCGCCAAAAAAUGCGAAAUAGCCCUUGAACCGUACAUUUUACAGAUACGUGCGCGUUGACUUUUUCAUAAAUCUUAUUGAGAUACACAGGAUUGCCAAAUUUUGUGUCAAUAUGACAAAGCGUACAGGCGUGAAUCUCAACAAUGUGUAUUUUCACCUUAGGGGACAAGAAAAAAUGGACUUUUUUCUCCUGCCAUGGGGGGGCGCUCUUUUGGGGAGUAAAAAUUCCUUCACAAAUGUGUUGAUGGCUGGACAUUGCAUCAUCCUAGAAAACUUGGAGGCCAGUGAGGACAAAAAUAAAAAGUUAUAAGACUUUUAAAUAUGUGGAUUUUAGGGUUAUCUUUGGCGCCCCCUAGAACCAAAACCGUGGGGUGCAGCGUCAUGAUUUGAACAACUUUUAAUGGCCAUGGGGUGUAUAUUGGCCUGAGCAAAUUUGGUGCCGGUGGAACGAAAGCCUUCGGAGGAGUUAGCGAAAUUCCAAUGUGUGCGGAUCGGCAAAAAAUGCGAAAUAGCCCUUUAACGGUACAUUUGACAGAUACGCCCGCACUGACUUUUUUGUAGAUCUUAUUGAGAUACAUGUGUGUGUCAAUUUUUGUGUCAUUUUGACAAAGCGUACAGGCAUGACAGUCAAUAGUGUGAAUUUUCACCUUAGGGGGCGCUAUGGAGCCAUUUUGCAUUUUCUUGUUUGGGCGACUUCAGAAUAUCAAAUUUUUCACCAGGCCCGGUCGUCCUGCCAAAUUUCAUGAGUUUUCACCAGUGGGAAGUGGGCCAUUUUCCAGUUCAAAGGGGCAGAAAAAUAAUAAGAAAAAGACUAGGACCCCGUUGGGGCACUGGCGGGCCCGAGCCGUGUCGCCCCCCCCAACGUGCUUCCUCCCCGUCCCAUUUGUGUCCUCUGGCCAUCGCCCUCUCUGGUAACGCCCAUCACUGCAAAGACCCUUUUCCUUCAUCGGCGUUUGCUGUUCUUCCUGCCAGUGCGUGUUGCUUUCACUUACACUUGCCACAGCCAGCCUCGUGAGUGCCUAGCCUAUUGGAUAUCACUGUCACCUACACAGGACAGUCAUUACCUUUCUAUUAAUACUUUGUGUUUUAAUUUCACAUUAAUUUCCAUAUUGUAUAAACGACUGGAAAAAACUUGAGCCCCUGCCCCUGUAUAAUCAUGUGCAUGUCUCUGUUCUAGCUCCAAGGUGAAUCUUCACUGCUCAUGUUCUCCUCAGAAGCACUCACCUCACUCCCCUCAGGUUACUGUACACAUGCACCAACUGCCUGCUUCAGGUUUGGAUGGAGCUUCAUGGUUGUCUUUUGGAGAAAUGAGCAGUCAAGUUGUGUUUGAAAUUUGAUUUUUUUCAGGGGCAAAAGGAGCCUCUGCAUUCUUGUCAAAUAUGUAAAUAGCAUGUUUUUGCAGGUGCUAAAAACCAGACUCUGAGUGUGUGUGUGUGUGUGUGCGUGUGUGUGUGUGCGCGUUCAAGUCACAUGACAUAUUUAACCGGAUGUAGCUGCAAGACGGAGCCUCGUUGACUCUCCGUUUCAACUUAUCUCAAAAGUGAGGACCUCAACCUAUAUACCAGUUUUUAAAUUGUGUUGAUAGGCCAAAUAAAACCAGAGUUAUGAUAAAUUAUGUCCGCGAUACUUUUUUUCUGCUUAUUUUGAUCACGUUCGGCGCUCGAUCGCGCUGUAUGAGACAGGAAAACAUAGCAUGCAGACAUUAGCGACAGGUCUUACAGGCGGAAAAGGCUUGCCAAAAGAAAAAAAAAAAAACACCACAACAUCUCUCCUAUUGGUGGAAAACUUCACCACAACAACCAAUCCAAAAUUAUAUGGUGACUGAUUGACAAGGGGCGGGUGCUUACGUUCUUCCUGCAACAUGAGAAGGGAGGGAGGGACUCUCAGCAGGGAUGCAGUCUGGGACACGUAGUUGCAAACCUAGCGACUUUGUUGUUAGAUUCAAUGACUUUUCAGACCCCCUAACGACUUUUUUAGAAAGAAAGGGACUUUUAUCGACUUCUUCUGGAGUUUAGAGACUCUGACAUGAAGCAGGCUUUCCUUACUGAGGAGUUAGCAACGCUGCUAAGGGUGCAGAGCCACACAUGCGCUCAGAGCUCUGCAUGGGAGACUGAAGCUGACAGAGCUGCAGCAGUUAGCAGGUUUCACCCUCAGAGACCACCAGGGGUUCAUGUUGAGGCAUUUUAAAUUUUUUUUUUUUUUGUGCCAUAGACACUGUCAGCACAAUCUGCAGUUACACUAACAAAAAUGCUGCAAAAAACAAAGAAUUAUGGAAAAAUUACACAUGGACUGACAUAGAGGAGGAUCUACACAAGUUUUUUACAUCAUGUUUUACAUCAUGCAUCAUUUACAUCAUGUUUUUUUGUAGUGGCAUAAAUAAAAAGUGACAUUUGUGAGACUAUACAGUGUUUUGUAAAUAAUUUUACAAAGAACGCCUGGGCCAUUGCCUGCAUUUUGAUGAAAAUAGAGGUAAAUCACUAUGUUCUUUGUUAAAAAUUUGCAUAUGUUUUGAAGUUUACAAUUUUUAUUUGAAGUUUAAGUUUUAAAAACAGUUCAUCACACAUAUUUGUGGUUUUCACAGUAAAAAUGUUACUUUUUUCCACUCGGAUUUUAUGUUUUGUGUGUGAAUUUGGGUCCAUUGUGUAAAUUCAGUAUGUCAACAUGAUAAAAUAACUGUAAAUUCGCACAGGUGAGGUUGUGCUGAAAAAAAUGAUACCAGGCAAGGCACGUGAUUGUCAAAUUUUGUGUCAAUAUGACAAAGUGUAUAGGCGUGAAUCUCAACAAUAUGUAUUUUCACCUUAGGGGACAAGAAAAAAUGGACUUUUUUCUCCUGCCAUGGGGGGGCGCUCUUUUGGGGAGUAAAAAUUCCUUCACAAAUGUGUUGAUGGCUGGACAUUGCAUCAUCCUAGAAAACUUGGAGGCCAGUGAGGACAAAAAUAAAAAGUUAUAAGACUUUUAAGAAUGUGGAUUUUAGGGUUAUCUUUGGCGCCCCCUAGAACCUAAACCGUGGGGUGCAGCGUCAUGAUUUGAAUAACUUUUAAUGGCCAUGGGGUGUAGAUUGUCCUGAGCAAAUGUGGUGCCGGUGGAAUGAAAGCCUUAGGAGGAGUUAGCCACAUUCCAAUGUGUGCGGAUCGGCAAAAAAUGCGGAAUAACCCUUUAACCGUACAUUUGACAGAUACGCGCGCAUUGACUUUUUCGUAGAUCUUAUUGAGUUACAUGUGUGUGUCAAUUUUUGUGUCAUUUUGACAAAGCGUAUAGGCGUGACACUCAACAAUGUGUAUUUUCACCUUAGGGGACAAGAAAAAAUUGACUUUUUUCUCCUGCCAUGGGGGGGCGCUCUUUUGGGGAGUAAAAAUUCCUUCACAAAUGUGUUGAUGGCUGGACAUUGCAUCAUCCUAGAAAACUUGGAGGCCAGUGAGGACAAAAAUAAAAAGUUAUAAGACUUUGAAAUAUGUGGAUUUUAGUGUUAUCUUUGGCGCCCCCUAGAACCUAAACCUUGGGGUGCAGCGUCAUGAUUUUGAUAACUUUUAAUGGCCACGGGGUGUAGAUUGGCCUGAGCAAAUGUGGUGCCGGUGGAACGAAAGCCUUCGGAGGAGUUAGCGAAAUUCCAAUGUGUGCGGAUCGGCAAAAAAUGCGGAAUAACCCUUUAACCGUACAUUUGACAGAUACGCCCGCACUGACUUUUUUGUAGAUCUUAUUGAGAUACAUAUGUGUGUCAAUUUUUGUGUCAAUAUGACAAAGCGUACAGGCGUGACAGUCAAUAGUGUGAAUUUCCACCUUAGGGGGCGCUAUGGAGCCAUUUUGCAUUUUAUUGUUUGGGCGACUUCAGAAUAUCGAAUUUUUCACCAGGCCCGGUCGUCCUGCCAAAUUUCAUGAGUUUUCCCCAGUGGGAAGUGGGCCAUUUUCCAGUUCAAAGGGGAGGAAAAAGAAGAAACUAGGGCCCCGGUGGGGCACUGUCGGGCCCGAGCCGUGUCGCGCCGCCCCCAGUGCGACCGCCUCCCCGUCCCGAUCGAGUCACACUCAAGAACCAAAGAUGGUGUGCGCACUUGUCUGUGGUCAUUUCCCAUUAUAAUGAAUGGGAGGCGCAGUUUCUACCAAAACACUCGCUGCAGACAAACUUCAUGUCCUAUUUGAAAAAAGUCUGGACCAUGAGUGAGGGCACAAACACAGCUAUGAUAUAUCGAAAUGCCAGGUUGCUCCUCCUUACGGUGUUGCCUGGAGAGCGAUGCGAUUGAGCCAUUGAGCGAUGGGCAGGAAAAACUUGACUUUUUCUCCUGCCAUAGGGGGGGGGAUGUGGAUUCUUUUAAGAAUGUGGAUUUUUGGGUCAUCUUUGGCGCCCCCUAGAACGUAAACCGUGGGGUGCAGCGUCAUGAUUUUUACAACUUUGAAUGGCCAUGGGGUGUAGAUUGGCCUGAGCAAAUUUGGUGUCAGUGGGACGAAAGCCUUAGGAGGAGUUAGCCACAUUCCAAUGUGUGCGAAUCGGCAAAAAAUGCAAAAUAGCCCUUUAACCGUACAUUUGACAGAUACGCGCAAAUUGACUUUUUUGUAGAUCUUAUUGAGAUACAUAUGUGUGUCAAUUUUUGUGUCAAUAUGACAAAGCGUUCAGGCGUGACACUCAACAAUGUGUAUUUUUAUGUAAGUGGACAAGAAAAAAUUGACUUUUUUCUCCUACCAUGGGGGGGCGCUCUUUUGGGGAGUAAAAAUUCCUUCACAAAUGUGUUGAUGGCUGAACAUUGCAUCAUCCUAGAAAACUUGGAGGCCAGUGAGGACAAAAAUAAAAAGUUAUAAAACAUUUAAGAAUGUGGAUUUUUGGGUUAUUUUUGGCGCCCCCUAGAACCUAAACCGUGGGGUGCAGCGUCAUGAUUUUGAUAACUUUUAAUGGCCAUGGGGUGUAGAUUGGCCUGAGCAAAUGUGGUGCCGGUGGAACGAAAGCCUUAGGAGGAGUUAGCCACAUUCCAAUGUGUGCGGAUCGGCAAAAAAUGCGGAAUAACCCUUUAACUGUACAUUUGACAGAUACGCGCGCGUGGACUUUUUUGUAGAUCUUAUUGAGUUACAUGUGUGUGUCAAUUUUUGUGUCAUUUUGACAAAGCGUAUAGGCGUGACACUCAACAAUGUGUAUUUUCACCUUAGGGGACAAGAAAAAAUGGACUUUUUUCUCCUGCCAUGGGGGGGCGCUCUUUUGGGGAGUAAAAAUUCCUUCACAAAUGUGUUGAUGGCUGGACAUUGCAUCAUCCUAGAAAAUUUGGAGGCCAGUGAGGACAAAAAUAAAAAGUUAUAAGACUUUUAAAUAUGUGGAUUUUAGUGUUAUCUUUGGCGCCCCCUAGAACCUAAACCUUGGGGUGCAGCGUCAUGAUUUUGAUAACUUUUAAUGGCCACGGGGUGUAGAUAGGCCUGAGCAAAUGUGGUGCCGGUGGAACGAAAGCCUUCGGAGGAGUUAGCGAAAUUCCAAUGUGUGCGGAUCGGCAAAAAAUGCGAAAUAACCCUUUAACCGUAAUUUUGACAGAUACGGCCGCACUGACUUUUUUGUAGAUCUUAUUGAGAUACAUGUGUGUGUCAAUUUUUGUGUCAAUAUGACAAAGCGUACAGGCGUGACAGUCAAUAGUGUGAAUUUCGACCUUAGGGGGCGCUAUGGAGCCAUUUUGCAUUUUAUUGUUUUGGCGACUUCAGAAUAUCGAAUUUUUCACCAGGCCCGGUCAUCCUGCCAAAUUUCAUGAGUUUUCGCCAGUGGGAAGUGGGCCAUUUUCCAGUUCAAAGGGGAGGAAAAAGAAAAAAGAAAGAAAGAAACAAAGAAAAACCACUUGGGGAAUAAUAGGGCCUACGCCCGGCUGCUCUGCAGCUGGCUCGGGCCCUAAGAAAGAAAGAAAGAAAGAAACAAAGAAAAACCACUUGGGGAAUAAUAGGGCCUACGCCCGGCUGCUCUGCAGCUGGCUCGGGCCCUAACUAGGACCCCGUUGGGGCACUGGCGGGCCCGAGCUGUGUCGCGUCCCCCCCCCAACGCGCUGCCUCCCCGUCCCAUUUGUGUCCUCUGGCCAUCGCCCUCUCUGGUAACGCCCAUCACUGCAAAGACCCUUUUCCUUCAUCGGCGUUUGCUGUUCUUCCUGCCAGUGCGUGUUGCUUUCACUUACACUUGCCACAGCCAGCCUCUUGAGUGCCUAGCCUAUUGGAUAUCACUGUCACCUACUCAGGACAGUCAUUACCUUUCUAUUAAUACUUUGUUUUUUAAUUUCACAUUAAUUUCCAUAUUGUAUAAACAACUGGAAAAAACUUGAGCCCCUGCCCCUGUAUAAUCAUGUGCACGUCUCUGUUCUAGCUCUAAGGUGAAUCUUCACUGCUCAUGUUCUCCUCAGAAGCAGUCACCUCACUCCCCUCAGGUUACUGUACACAUGCACCAACUGCCUGCUUCAGGUUUGGAUGGAGCUUCAUGGUUGUCUUUUGGAGAAAUGACCAGUCAAGUUGUGUUUGAAAUUUGAUUUUUUUCAGGGGCAAAAGGAGCCUCUGCAUUCUUGUCAAAUAUGUAAAUAGCAUGUUUUUGCAGGUGCUAAAAACCAGACUCUGAGUGUGUGUGUGUGCGUGUGUGUGUGUGUCUGUGUGUGUGUGUGUGUGUGUGUGUGUGUGUGUGUGCGUUCAAGUCACAUGACAUAUUUAACCGGAUGUAGCUGCAAGACGGAGCCUCGUUGACUCCGUUUCAACUUAUCUCAAAAGUGAGGACCUCAACCUAUAUACCAGUUUUUAAAUUGUGUUGAUAGGCCAAAUAAAACCAGAGUUAUGAUAAAUUAUGUCCGCGAUACUUGUUUUCUGCUUAUUUUGAUCACGUUCGGCGCUCGAUCGCGCUGUAUGAGACAGGAAAACAUAGCAUGCAGACAUUAGCGACAGGUCUUACAGGCGGAAAAGGCUUGCCAAAAGAAAAAAAAAACACACCACAACAUCUCUCCUAUUGGUGGAAAACUUCACCACAACAACCAAUCCAAAAUUAUAUGGUGACUGAUUGACAAGGGGCGGGCGCUUACGUUCUUCCUGCAAUAUGAGAAGGGAGGGAGGGACUCUCAGCAGGGAUGCAGUCUGGGACACGUAGUUGCAAACCUAGCGACUUUGUUGUUAGAUUCAAUGACUUUUCAGACCCCCUAACGACUUUUUUUUUAGAAAGAAAGUGACUUUUAUCGACUUCUUCUGGAGUUUAGAGACUCUGACAUGAAGCAGGCUUUCCUUACUGAGGAGUUAGCAACGCUGCUAAGGGUGCAGAGCCACACAUGCGCUCCGAGCUCUGCAUGGGAGACUGAAGCUGACAGAGCUGCAGCAGUUAGCAGGUUUCACCCUCAGAGACCACCAGGGGUUCAUGUUGAGGCAUUUUCAGUUUUUUUUUUUUUUUUGCCAUAGACACUGUCAGCACAAUCUGCAGUUACACUAACAAAAAUGCUGCAAAAAACAAAGAAUUAUGGAAAAAUUACACAUGGACUAACAUAGAGGAGGAUCUACACAAGUUUUUUACAUCAUGUUUUACAUCAUGCAUCAUUUACAUCAUGUUUUUUUGUAGUGGCAUAAAUAAAAAGUGACAUUUGUGAGACUAUACAGUGUUUUGUAAAUAAUUUUACAAAGAACACCUGGGCCAUUGCCUGCAUUUUGAUGUAAAUAGAGGUAAAUUACUAUGUUCUUUGUUAAAAAUGUGCAUAUGUUUUGAAGUUUACAAUUUUAAUUUGAAGUUUAAGUUUUAAAAACAGUUCAUCACACAUAUUUGUGGUUUUCACAGUAAAAACGUUACUUUUUUCCACUCGGAUUUUAUGUUUUGUGUGUGAAUUUGGGUCCAAUGUGCAAAUAUAGUAUGUCAAAAUGAUAAAAUAACUGUAAAUUGACACAGGUGAGGUUGUGCUGAAAAAAAUGAUACCAGGCAAGGCAAGGUAAAAAUUUUGUAAGAGGAAAUAUAAAGGUAAAAUCUAAAGUAGUCAAAAACGGCCAAUAGUGACUCACAGACUCCACAGACAAGUCCCUUUGGCGCCACUCAGUGGGCAAAACUACUUUGUCUACUGUAAUGUAUAUUUGGGUCAUCUUUGGCGCCCCCUAAAACGUAAACCGUGGGGUGCAGCGUCA